RNAcentral lists this long non-coding RNA (6369 nucleotides) under Lynx pardinus (Iberian lynx). Lineage: Eukaryota; Metazoa; Chordata; Mammalia; Carnivora; Felidae. The record is from RNAcentral.
CAAAAAUCGCUCGGCUGCAUUUUCUCUUCAAACUGGCCUGGUCGGAUGUGGCAUUUGAAGAAAGAAGGCGUGGGUCAAUAAUCAACCCGCACUUUCUCCUCCAAACUGCUGACACGACUCUCACCGCCUUCUCAGCUAAGCCAGCUGCAGGGAAGGCCAGCUUUCCGUGAGAACCUGCCAGGGGAGGGGACCGCCUGGGCCAAGAGGGCCGAGGGUUCCGAGGUGAGGGCUGGGGCAUCUGGGGCGCAUACCUUUUCACCCGCACCAAGACUGUGCUGGGCAAAAUGCUGGGACUGGACUUGAAGAGCCAUGGGAGUUGAGGGAGAGCUGGGGUGGGAGCUUGGGACAGGGUCUCUGCUGGAUGGUCCCAGACUAGAUGGCUUCCGGGCAGCUGGCUGCAGUGGGCACAAAUCUGGCUCUGACCUCAAGACUGGUCUCACACCCUGGCAUGCAGACCUCCGGGUUUGGGCCUCUCUGCUGAAAUCCACAGGACUGGCUUUUAGAGCAAGGCAGGUGAUGUGAUUAAAGGUAAUAAUUUAUGAUUGCUGAAGGUUCUGUGUUACUGUUUUUUAAGAGAAAAAUACCGCCUGCCGAUUUUCACUGCCAGAAAUUGCCCACUGCUGCGGCUGCGGUGUCUUUUCUAGGCAAAUCCCGCAGCCAUUCACCCUGUUCAGCCAAAACCACUGAGGUUAUCUUUGUGGAAAGGACCCCUUUGCUCCCCCAAACCCCCCUCCUCAGUCCCUGUGCUCCCUUAUGUCUUGCCCACGGGGACUAGAAGAAAACAUUUUCCCAGUGCUAGAAAAAUAUCUGAAAUAGCGAAGGUGUGCUUGUGCCUCUCUACCCUUUGCAGGGGCCUCCUUGAGAACAGGUCUGCGGGUUGGGGGGGGGGGCGCUGGGGUCCCUGCAAGGCUGUCUAUAAGCCAGGGAGGAAGGUAAGGCACAAGAGGCACUGAAAUCUGGGAAUGGAGAGGGAAAUUAAUGAGGAAAUACACUUGCCUGUGAGGUUGAGGCUGGCAUUUUGAGGGUAAAAGGGGACUAGCCUGUUUUUUAUAGCUGUAGUUUAGCUAUUAUGGAGUGGCUUUAGCUCCUUGCGUGAAGGAAAAACCAACUGGUGCUCUAUAAACUGGACUACUGGUUUCUUUUCACUGUGCACACUUUUAUACAGAACCAGUUUGAGAGUCCAUCCCUAGAUAUUUAUUCCGCUGGCUGGCACUGAAGUGACAAUAAAAAGAUGCCUUUAACAAACCUCUAUUCCCUCUCUCAUUCUUUCUAGCGAAACUAUAUUAUUUAUGAGUCUUUAACUGGGUCAAAAAUGCGCCAGAACUGGGUCAUAAAUCAUAUGAAAUGCUGACAAGUAAUUGAACAGCAAUUAAAGCUUACAUUUUAUUUCCAAGGGGUGUUUUAGGGCACUUGAAACCGCCUCAGUUAAACACGGUUAGCGCCCGAGGACGGCAGCGGGGGAGGGUAGAAGCAGCCUUUCCCUUCUGGGGAUGUAAAUCCCUCUCUAGUAGGGGAAACCUGAUUUGAUUUUUUUUUUUCAAGUACAGAAAGAAAUAAGAUUUUUUUUUGUUUAAGUCACGGAGAAAAUCUGAUUCCCGACUCCUUGUAGACACCCCUUUCCUCCACCCCAAGAUCUCCAAGAGCAGAGAAAAGUGAAGUUUCCUUCACCGUUUCAGGGAGUUUUCAUCCUUCCCAGGAGUGCUGGGUCUCCAAAGUGCAAUUAGCACAGGCUUUCCCAGUAAUUUGCAAGCAUGGUUUAUCUCUCAUCUGCUUCUAUCCUGGCUACAGCACUGUUUCUGGGGUCUGAAGCCGGAGAAAUGUCUGCCUCUGCUUCCUGCGGACUCUGCCUCGAAUUCUCUCUAGCCCAGGGUGCACCAGCCAGUCCUUAAAACUCUGCAAGCCAGCUGGGUGCAUUACAAUGGGGCAUACAGGCCAUGCACAUUAUGAAGCCCAAACCCAGUUCUGGCUCCCGAAAUUUAGACUAACAGAGCUUCUGGGCGUCGGGCACGCUUACCCCUAUCCUAAGCCUCUCCUAGAUCUGAACUGUCUUCACCCCUACCCGGGUAGAGUCCUGGGGAAACAAUGGCGCGUCCUCCGUCCUCCGGGUCUUGCACCUUCGGUCCCGCGCGUGGGAAAGCGCGUCCUCCAACCAACCCAGCACUGAACAAAGUGGCCUGAAGCAUCAUCAAUAAAAUGGCAGCGCGUCUGCACACUCAUUGAUUUCCCUCUCCCAGCUGCUCUGGCUGCCUAGGUCAGCCCUACCUCUCCAUCCCUGGCCGCCAGCAAACGCGGCCAAGCCUGGAGAGAUUCCCCUUCCCAUCCACCCAGCCCCCACCCCCUCCAGGCCGUCUCGCCGAGCAAGCGCCGCGCGGGCCACCUCGGCCAGAGCCGCUGCUUCGGGACCCUCCCUCCGCCUGCGGCUCAGCUCCUGGGACUCAAGCCCCGCUGCAGUGGACAAAGCCGCCAGAGCGCUGGAGGCCACCGGGCUCACCUCGCAGCCCCCAAGCGCCCUUUCCUUUACAUCCCCCUACACUUUCCAGAGAAUUAAACUCAGUCUGAGGUGCUACUGGAGAUCUUUCAGAUGGUUUCGGUUCUAUGAGAGAAACAAAGGAAGAGAGGGGCUGAGGGUCCUGUCGGUGAACCAGGGUCUCCUCGCCUGACCUUUGUCUCUCACAGCCGUAACUCACUCUAAAUAUGAACAAUCGGCGGAAAUACCUUAAAAUAAAUUCCAUCCUCCUGGUGUGGCCUCGAGUCCCAUCGGCUAGCUCGCCCAGAACCGCUCCAUGAGCGCUGAAAACUGCAACCCGCUAGGAGAGCGCUCUCCGGAGAAGGGGAAGGAGAAGGAGGAGGUGGGUGCGUGGGGGUGGGGGGAAAAAGCUCUCGCUCUGUAGAGAAUCUAGAAAACGUAAUCACAGGCGAAGCCCGCCCGGGUCUCCGCUCCAAAUGCCACAAUAAUGCGCUGUAUUAUGUGCUCACGUGGUCAUACGUCAACUUAAAUCCUUUUAUUUGAAAUAGGAAAUCACUGAAGGGACUAGGUUUCCAAGCAGAACAUUCAGCUUUGGGGGAGGGGAAGUGGGGAACCUUGCCCAGCAGUGGGGAAGAGUUUCAUCUAGGGCAGUAGGACGCUGGGGGCACCCCCCCCCCAACAUGUGCCACACUGGGCCACUUAUCUCCACUUAUAUUUCUGUACAAAUGAUCCAAACAGCAAUGCUGUCCCCAUUCUCAGAGUCUAUGUAACUUUCUGUACAGUCUUCCACACGCAGACAAGCUGAAGCCUGCACACCCAAGCACGCCAGUCUCCUCUGGCCUGCUAGCCAGUACGUCAAAAGGCAAGGCCCGGGCCCUGUUUCCAGAAGAAAACCCAGUAAUGACUGGCUUAGUCAGUGGACUCCCUCAUGGCCUGCCAUUGUAUGGAGUUUGCUACCACCCACGCCAAAAGGCCCCAAAUUACCUGACAAAAGGCUAAGUUGAUUUUGUUCAAUGGGAGCCCUCUAGGGAAGAGGUGCUUGCCUCUAGAGUGGUGGGUCAGGGUUUUGCAAAAUCUGGAGGGACUCAGUGCCCUGGCUAAACCUACACUUGCGUACUUCCUCAGUGCACAGCUGAGCGAUACAUGAAAUUAUAGGCUUCUAACAAUGGAAAAUGUAAGGGGAAAUGAUCUAAUUGACUCUGUAAGAGAAAAACUAUAUAUACAACCAAUCUUUGCUGGCAUCCCUUGAAUUAACCUACAAGGUAACCUGGGACCCUUUUGCAGAUGGGUCUGUCCACCCUCCCCUAAGACAAGUCUGUCCACCAGCAGAAAAUGAACAGGACCAACUCUGCUCUGGAGCAACUGAGCUGAACCAACCCCCCCCCCCCCGGCCCUGCCCUGCUUCUACUCCUGACUUCUGCUUGGUGACACUGUCUACUGAUUGUAACACUUCACCCUCUCAGGACCUGCCUUAAAAGUUUCUCUUUUCAGGUCUUAGUUUCUGAACUUCUUAGUUUCUGAAGUGGUGGGCUCCUGGUGCCUUAUUCUUUUCUUUCUUUAGAGUGGAUCUUCAGCUGGCUAGGCCUCUCUAAGAGUGAGGACUCACUUAUAGCAGCUACAGGAUUCCUCCUCCUCCUCUUCUGCCCUGCAGGGGCCUAGUGAGAAUGUAAGGCCCUCAGUAAGGGGGCCUGGUCACGGGGGUGUCCAAAUCAGAAGGGCAAUAAAAGAGGAGGAGACCUAAUCCUUUGGAAGUGAGCCCUGGCCUACGCUGGUGGCAGUAUUCCAACAAAGUUCUGUCUGUGGUAGAGCUGGGAGAGAACCUCUCUGUGAACUGACCCAACUCUGACCUAAGCCACAAGCUGGAAAGUGAGAACCCAAAGUGCAAACCUACUUCUCUCAGGUAUGGGGUGUGGGGGAUAGAACCAAAGGCCGGUUUCCCAAAAAGCACUCUGCCGUCCCCCAAGGACUCACACAACUAACACAUUGUCCUCUGCUCCCCUUAUGCAGUCCCCCCACCCUGCCUGUGCCAAAUAUUUCACACCGAACUCUCCAGGUAGCCUAGAAAGGACCUGGAAGUAUUGCCAAAUUGCUGGCAAACUCCCAUCUCCCCCAACCAAAGUUUCUGCAGAGACUUCAACUCAAAGAUGAGAAGGGGCCCCCUUCAGAACUCUCAGAACAGUCUGGAGCAAAUCGUAACUCCGAGGCCAUAAAUCAAUGAGAGAAGUAUUUGGUACUGCUUCAGAGAAAUGCCUUAACGCCAGGAAGGCCCAGCGGCAUCUCGGCUCUAGCCAGGAGCCUCCAUUGCCGCUAUUAACAGCCCAGUUAAUGCUCCAACUGCUGUUUAACAAUUAACAUUAACGACUUGGGUUGGAAUGGGGUGAUUUGGUGGGAUGUGGAGGAAAAAAUCUGAGGAAGUCAAAAGAAAUUUAACUUUUGAGGUGAAAAUGGCUUUCCUAAGAGAGACCUUGGUCUGGGCAGGCCACCAGGGAACCAGCAGCUGAGAGUCCUCCCUCACCACUCUGAAAUCCACUCUCCUUGAACAAGGCUAUGGACCUUUUAAAGUUCAUUUCCAGAGAACGAGAAUAGAGAUACUCAAGUAUCGAAGCCCAGCCGGGAAAAUCUAGCUACCGGUCCCCCCUUCCACUCCAGCCCCCAACCUGGCCAGGGCUGGGGACACAUGCCCUGAAUCCAUUUCACCAGAGCCAAAAGUUGUCUUGGAAGGAGCAGGUGAGCAUGGAUACAGGGCUUUAGUCAAUAUUUGCAAGGCUGUUGGCAGAUUAGAUAUAUCUGUAUCCAAACACUGCAAUCUGAUUUCUCUGUCAAAAAUACACUUAACAUUUUUCUCCCUUUAGUUAGCUCUAGUGGUUUUUCUUAGUGGCUGGUAAGGCCUGCUUAGCCCACUUUUGUCUGUGUGUGUGUGCGUGUGUGUAUGUGUAUGUGUGUGUGUGUGUGUGUGUGUGUGUGUGUGUGUGUAUGUAGGUUAUAUAUCAUUAUUUAACAUGAGAUAUUUCCUGUGGGUGCAACUGCAGUACAAAUGGGCUCCAAGUUCUCUGGACACAUAUGGAUGUGUAUAUCAUUUUAUACACAUGGUCUCCAACUCCUGUGACUAUGUACACAUGCAGUGAUUCUGUUGUGUGCAGAGAUUCAAAUCAUAUGUACACAGUGAGUUGCAAAUUCCUAAAAUACUCAACCUAUAUUUGAUAAUAAAUAGACAUACAGGAGCUGAGAAAGUAACCCAGGUUUACUAUCCCCCUGUUUACCUUCUAUCUGAUAAGAUAAUAAUUGUAUCCAGAACAACAUAUCAGCCUUACAGCAUCACUGAAUAGCAUGUUGCACUUAAUUAACAACCUGAUAUCUAUUUGGGGAGCAAAUUUUAGGGAAGACUGAGGCCCGCGGAAUAGAAAACAAAAACUCAGAAAACUUUUUAAAAUAAAUAACUCCUGAAAGAACAAAGCAAACCCAUUCCUUCAUACCAAGCUUCUGAAAGCUAUUCCAACAGCCCCUCCCCCAAACAGGCACAAAAUUUAUGGAUCUUUUACAAGGUAAUAAACCACAGUAAUUACCUCCCUGCAUCCCAAACUAAGAGAACAAAUUAAGCCAGAACUUGGAAAGAAUUUUAAAGAGUCUUCCCUUGUUUCCAGUAGGAAAAGAAAACGCAGAGACCUGGGAAACGCGUGCUUUUCCCGUAGGAAAAAGAGCAGUUCCGCCCACCUAAAGGAACGGAGAAGACCCGCUGCCUGCGACGGUCUACACAUUCGAAAGGCAGCAACCUCCCUCAUGCCGCGGAAAGGCAAAAGGAUAGGAGAAACUGCAAGGCGGCGAGACAAGUUUCCUCAACGCAGAUCUGUGACUGACGACCAUUCCCGAACUCACAGUCUCCGCGGGCGCCGCAAACAGUCGAC